AGCAGCCGCGGUAAUUCCAGCUCCAAUAGCGUAUAUUAAAGUUGUUGCAGUUAAAAAGCUCGUAGUUGAAUUUCGGGAUUGACACAUCGGUCGUGCCUUAAGGGGUGUGAACUGGUGUAGUCAAUUUCUCACCUUCUGGAGAACCGCGAUGUCCUUAAUUGGGUGCCGCGAGGAACCAGGACCUUUACUUUGAAAAAAUUAGAGUGUUUAAAGCAGGCAUUUUUGCUUGAAUACAUUAGCAUGGAAUAAUAAAAUAGGACGGCAUGAUUCUAUUUUGUUGGUUUCUAGGAUCACCGUAAUGAUUAAUAGGGAUAGUUGGGGGCAUUAGUAUUCAAUUGUCAGAGGUGAAAUUCUUGGAUUUAUUGAAGACUAACUACUGCGAAAGCAUUUUGCCAAGGAUGUUUUCAUUAAUCAAGAACGAAAGUUAGGGGAUCGAAGACGAUCAGAUACCGUCGUAGUCUUAACCAUAAACUAUGCCGACUAGGAAUCAGACGAUGUUAAUUUUUUAAUGACUCGUUUG
This 520-nucleotide ribosomal RNA is filed under the name uncultured Entrophospora. Its description in RNAcentral is "SSU rRNA". It matches the Rfam family "Eukaryotic small subunit ribosomal RNA", at positions 569 to 1082 of the family's 1831-position model. Lineage: Eukaryota; Fungi; Glomeromycota; Glomeromycetes; Entrophosporales; Entrophosporaceae. The record is from RNAcentral.